AACGUAUAUUCUGUACUGUGAUUUCCACUAUUCGAGAAUAUAUACCUUAGACUGUACUUUCAAGUCAAUGGUAUAGAAACGUCUUCUUUCUUACGCAAUCCCUCAGAAUAUUGUAGAUGUCUUAUUCUUUCAAAAAAAUCACAGUGUCUACAUAAAAAGAUGAGGGAAUGCUAUUUACGCACUAGCACCGCGACCCGAUAGCGAUGGGAGUAAAGAGCUCCCAACUGAUUGCCAGACUAUCCACCAAAACCAUCAUCUGUUUUCCGGCGACACCUUAGUGGGGACGCUCGGUGUUGGCCUUUCAGCCCCGUCGUAAGGGACGCUCAAACGUCAUUCCCAACGCCGUCUGCAGGUGACUGUGAGAUCAAGCCCGUCCUCGGCCACCGGAUCCCACCGAGCAACCGAGCAAAGCUUUGAAGAAAAAAUUAUAAUUAUUAUGUUUCACUAGUGGGGAAAACGUGUACAGAUUUUAAUCAUGGCCAAUUUCCGAAAACCCGAAAAAAAAUCGUGACUUUU
Long non-coding RNA from Melitaea cinxia (Glanville fritillary), 516 nucleotides. RefSeq lists it as uncharacterized. NCBI's taxonomy places the organism in Eukaryota, Metazoa, Arthropoda, Insecta, Lepidoptera, Nymphalidae. The record is from RefSeq and is a predicted model, not a curated record. The transcript is spliced from 2 exons.